This 464-nucleotide ribosomal RNA is filed under the name Vreelandella stevensii. RNAcentral describes it as "partial 16S ribosomal RNA". It matches the Rfam family "Bacterial small subunit ribosomal RNA", at positions 338 to 795 of the family's 1533-position model. Lineage: Bacteria; Pseudomonadati; Pseudomonadota; Gammaproteobacteria; Oceanospirillales; Halomonadaceae. The record is from RNAcentral.
CCUACGGGUGGCUGCAGUGGGGAAUAUUGGACAAUGGGCGAAAGCCUGAUCCAGCCAUGCCGCGUGUGUGAAGAAGGCCUUCGGGUUGUAAAGCACUUUCAGUGGGGAAGAAAGCCUUUGGCUAAUACCCUCGAGGAAGGACAUCACCCACAGAAGAAGCACCGGCUAACCUCGGUCCAGCAGCCGCGGUAAUACGGAGGGUGCGAGCGUUAAUCGGAAUUACUGGGCGUAAAGCGCGCGUAGGCGGUCUGAUAAGCCGGUUGUGAAAGCCCCGGGCUCAACCUGGGAACGGCAUCCGGAACUGUCAGGCUAGAGUGCAGGAGAGGAAGGUAGAAUUCCCGGUGUAGCAGUGAAAUGCGUAGAGAUCGGGAGGAAUACCAGUGGCGAAGGCGGCCUUCUGGACUGACACUGACGCUGAGGUGCGAAAGCGUGGGUAGCAAACAGGAUUAGAUACCCGAGUAGUC